AAACUAGUGAAUGCAGCUGCAACUACCAAGCCAAAACUUGUGGUUUCUUUGAGUCAAAGCCCAGCUCUCAGCAAAUUGAUUUUGGUUUCAACUAAUUGCCUGACGUUGGAGGCACAAAAAGCAGUCACAAAGCCCCUCAGAAGCAAAGGAAUGUAGAGAUAAACUCAAUCUCUUAAUGGAGAAGAGGCAAGAUCGUAUUACUGAAGAGCAUGUGAAAUGGUAAGUGCGUUGUAGACACAUUUUGGAAAUGUAAGUUGCCACAGUAAGAAUAUCGGAUUCCAUUAGGAAUAUUAUAAAGGUACUGGAGGGUUUUGAGAAGAGAAAAUAUAUCCUAUUGUAUGACUUAGAGUCUUUUUGUUGAGAAAUUUAGUGGUGCAAAUUAGAAAAAAUGAGAUUACUUAAGAAGCUAUCGGCCAGGCGCAGUGGCUCACGCCUGUAAUCUCAGCACUUUGGGAGGCCGAGGCAGGCAGAUCAUGAGGUCGAGCAAUUGAGAUCAUCCUGGCCAACAUGGUGAAACCCCACCUCUACUAAAAAUACAAAAAUUAGGUGGGU
This 552-nucleotide long non-coding RNA is filed under the name Papio anubis (olive baboon). Its description in RNAcentral is "lncRNA (ENSPANG00000049577.1)". The record is from RNAcentral. Lineage: Eukaryota; Metazoa; Chordata; Mammalia; Primates; Cercopithecidae.